CAGGCUUACACAUGCAAGUCGAGGGGUAUAGUUCUUCCGAGCUAGAGACCGGCGCACGGGUGCGUAACGCGUAUGCAAUCUACCUUUUACAGAGGGAUAGCCCAGAGAAAUUUGGAUUAAUACCUCAUAGUAUGUGAGAAUCGCAUGGUUUUCACAUUAAAGUCACAACGGUAAAAGAUGAGCAUGCGUCCCAUUAGCUAGAUGGUAAGGUAACGGCUUACCAUGGCAACGAUGGGUAGGGGUCCUGAGAGGGAGAUCCCCCACACUGGUACUGAGACACGGACCAGACUCCUACGGGAGGCAGCAGUGAGGAAUAUUGGACAAUGGGCGCAAGCCUGAUCCAGCCAUGCCGCGUGCAGGAUGACGGUCCUAUGGAUUGUAAGCUGCUUUUGUACAGGAAGAAACACUCCCUCGUGAGGGAGCUUGACGGUACUGUAAGAAUAAGGAUCGGCUAACUCCGUGCCAGCAGCCGCGGUAAUACGGAGGAUCCAAGCGUUAUCCGGAAUCAUUGGGUUUAAAGGGUCCGUAGGCGGUUUAAUAAGUCAGUGGUGAAAGCCCAUCGCUCAACGGUGGAACGGCCAUUGAUACUGUUAAACUUGAAUUAUUAGGAAGUAACUAGAAUAUGUAGUGUAGCGGUGAAAUGCUUAGAGAUUACAUGGAAUACCAAUUGCGAAGGCAGGUUACUACUAAUGGAUUGACGCUGAUGGACGAAAGCGUGGGUAGCGAACAGGAUUAGAUACCCUGGUAGUCCACGCCGUAAACGAUGGAUACUAGCUGUUGGGAGCAAUCUCAGUGGCUAAGCGAAAGUGAUAAGUAUCCCACCUGGGGAGUACGUUCGCAAGAAUGAAACUCAAAGGAAUUGACGGGGGCCCGCACAAGCGGUGGAGCAUGUGGUUUAAUUCGAUGAUACGCGAGGAAC
RNAcentral lists this ribosomal RNA (919 nucleotides) under uncultured Flavobacteriaceae bacterium. RNAcentral describes it as "bacterial SSU rRNA". It matches the Rfam family "Bacterial small subunit ribosomal RNA", at positions 43 to 969 of the family's 1533-position model. The record is from RNAcentral. Lineage: Bacteria; Pseudomonadati; Bacteroidota; Flavobacteriia; Flavobacteriales; Flavobacteriaceae.